GAUGAAGAACGCAGCGAAAUGCGAUACUUGGUGUGAAUUGCAGAAUCCCGUGAACCAUCGAGUCUUUGAACGCAAGUUGCGCCUCAAGCCAUUAGGUUGAGGGCACGUCUGCCUGGGCGUCACAUAUCGUUGCCUGAUGCCAGUUUCCUCGUGAUGGGUGACUGUGCAGGGCGAAUGAUGGCUUCCCGUGAGCAUUGUUGCCUCAUGGUUGGUUGAAAAUUGAGUCCUUGGUAGGGAGCGCCGUGAUAGAUGGUGGUUGAGUGACGAACGAGACCCAAUCAUGUGAGACCCCUACCGAAUUUGGCCUUCAUGACCCACAUGCCUCUUUGGAACGCUCAUGACGAGACCUCAGGUCAGGCGGGGCUACCCGCUGAGUUUAAGCAUAUCAAUAAGCGGAGGA
RNAcentral lists this unclassified non-coding RNA (400 nucleotides) under soil metagenome. Its description in RNAcentral is "partial contains 5.8S ribosomal RNA, internal transcribed spacer 2, and large subunit ribosomal RNA". The stretch from base 1 to 122 matches the Rfam family "5.8S ribosomal RNA", at positions 35 to 154 of the family's 154-position model. The record is from RNAcentral.